This 72-nucleotide transfer RNA is filed under the name bacterium. Its description in RNAcentral is "tRNA-Val". It matches the Rfam family "tRNA". Rfam says of the family: Transfer RNA (tRNA) molecules are approximately 80 nucleotides in length. RNAcentral also lists the same sequence under 1 other name. The record is from RNAcentral.
GGGUGAGUAGCUUAGUGGUAGAGCAUUCGGCUUACAUCCGAAAGGUCGCAGGUUCGAUCCCUGCCUCACCCA